This 82-nucleotide small RNA is filed under the name Sinorhizobium meliloti 2011. RNAcentral describes it as "putative ncRNA". Lineage: Bacteria; Pseudomonadati; Pseudomonadota; Alphaproteobacteria; Hyphomicrobiales; Rhizobiaceae. The record is from RNAcentral.
AUCAUUUGUCGUGGGCUGGACUGCCUUUGCGGGCGCAAGUCCCGUUGCUAUUACGACUGUGAUCCCGACGAUGUCGAUCGUC